This 692-nucleotide ribosomal RNA is filed under the name uncultured Burkholderia sp. RNAcentral's name for it is "bacterial SSU rRNA". It matches the Rfam family "Bacterial small subunit ribosomal RNA", at positions 35 to 724 of the family's 1533-position model. The record is from RNAcentral. Lineage: Bacteria; Pseudomonadati; Pseudomonadota; Betaproteobacteria; Burkholderiales; Burkholderiaceae.
GCUGGCGGCAUGCUUUACACAUGCAAGUCGAACGGUAACGCGGGCUUCGGCCUGGCGACGAGUGGCGAACGGGUGAGUACAACAUCGGAACGUAUCCUUUAGUGGGGGAUAGCCCGGCGAAAGCCGGAUUAAUACCGCAUGAUCUCUGAGGAGCAAAGCGGGGGACUUUCGGGCCUCGCGCUGUUGGAGCGGCCGAUGCCGGAUUAGCUUGUUGGUGGGGUAAGAGCCUACCAAGGCGACGAUCCGUAGCUGGUCUGAGAGGAUGAUCAGCCACACUGGAACUGAGACACGGUCCAGACUCCUACGGGAGGCAGCAGUGGGGAAUUUUGGACAAUGGGGGCAACCCUGAUCCAGCCAUGCCGCGUACGGGAAGAAGGCCUUCGGGUUGUAAACCGCUUUCAUACGGAACGAAAUGGUGCCGGUUAAUACCCGGUAUUGAUGACGGUACCGUAAGAAGAAGCACCGGCUAACUACGUGCCAGCAGCCGCGGUAAUACGUAGGGUGCGAGCGUUAAUCGGAAUUACUGGGCGUAAAGCGUGCGCAGGCGGCUCUUUAAGACAGGUGUGAAAUCCCCGGGCUUAACCUGGGAAUUGCGCUUGUGACUGGAGAGCUCGAGUGCGGCAGAGGGGGAUGGAAUUCCUGGUGUAGCAGUGAAAUGCGUAGAUAUCAGAGGAACACCGAUGGCGAAGCAG